AGUGUGGGUUUGGCUGUGGGUUAGCACAGCGUGCAGAAGGGCUGAGGGAAGGCUGGCUGCAGCCCUGGCCUGCUGUGCCACUGUCACCGAGGGGGGUGGCUUUGUGCUGGAGAUGGAGAACGCAACUCCUGCAGCAGGAAGAAGAUAACAUGAAGCUGUGAUGCCUUUCUCCCUCCCAGAAAGGCUGCAGGAAGGGAGCGAGAAGGAAACCGAGAAGAGGAAGGUGAACAAAUGGCAGUGAAGGAAGCCCAGAACUUGCUUUUCCAUCUGGUGGAUGCUCACCUGACAGCUGCACAAAGCUCCUCAACCUCUGCCAGAAAUCCUCAAAGUCCAAAGGACUCAGCCUGAAUCUGCUGAACAACUUAAUGGAAUGGAUGCUGCUCUGGUGGGUGCUUUUUGCUCUCUUUGUGAGCAUGCUAAUGGAAAUUCAAUAAGAAGAUAACCUUAUUGUGAAGUUUUUAAUUAGCACUGCUUCCUUGUAAUAACGAAAUUGAGAAGGGAUUAAUCACUUGAUUUAAUUACCGAGAGAAAAGAUGGCUUCCAAUGGGAUUUCCAUCUCAUGUGUUGUGGACACUCCUCGUGCCUGGGAUCAGCCUCUCUUACACCAAGGCAUUGGUUCCCACAGGUUUGCUGCUCUCCUCUACUUUUGGCUCAGUGGAAGUUUGUUGAGCGUUGCCUACUUGGUUUGCAAGUAUCUCCAGUUUAGGGACUGGUGUCUGCUGGCCCUCGUUUGGAAAUCUCUGCAGCUGGGGCUUUGGGGUUGCUCUCGUUUUUGUGAGGUGGUGAUGAAGCCCUGCCAAGUAGAAUCAUAGAAUGGCCUGGGUUAAAAAGGACUGCAGUGAUCAUCUGGUUCCAACCAGAUGUGUGCAAGGUCUCCAACCAGCAGCCCAGGCUGCCCAGAGCCACAUCCAGCCUGGCCUUGAAUGCCUGCAGGGCUGGAGCAUCCACAGCCUCCAACAUCUCUCCUUUGGGCCUGGGCUGAACAGGGCUCCAAGCACGCAUCAACCCUCCUGUCCUUAGCAGAGCAUUUCAAAGCCUUUUCUUCCUCUCCCUUCAAAGAUACUGGGGCCAACCAGCACCUCCUUGUUCAUCCUGUCGGCCGUUGCUUUGCCAGCAGCAUCCCACAGGAUCCUUCCCAGAUCUCUCACCCCUUCCCAGCGUUGUUUAUUUAUCAGUAUCUGUGCUGGCCACGGAGAGGAGCUGUUUGGCUGCGCUCUGCCUGCUUCUGCUUCCCAGGAAAGCAGGCAAACAAACACCCGUCAUUCUGCCUCUGCAGCCUUCUUCCUGCUGGCUUUGGCCUCGUGUCCAGCCCUGAAAUGCUGUUUGUCCUCUGCACAGCAAGCCUUCAAGCAGCAGUUCUCCCUGAUCAUCCUCCACGCGUGGCCGAGUUGCAGGAAUUGCUGCAUUUCCCACAUGCUGCUCAUGCACUUCAGCUGUGGUUUUGUGUUUUGUCUCAUGUACUCCUCUUGCAGGCAGGGGCAGGCCUGAGCCUCCGCUCUCUAUCAGUGUUCCUGCUCCCUUCCUGUGGGAUGCACCAGCUCCAAUGUACCAUUUCCACCUGCAGGAGGAAGCCAGCUCAGCCAGCUGUGAUGUUCGCCCAUUCGGAGCUCCUCAUUGUUCUCAAAGCUCUGCCUCAAGAAAGCGAGUGAAGCUGGAUUUAUGAAGGAUGGAGCUCAGCAGGUGGAACCUUCUCUUUAGUUUGUAAUUCACUUCAGUUUGUGCUGGCUGAAAAUCCCAGGGCAGCCAGGCUGCAUGAAUCCCAGCUGAAUCUGCAGCAAUAACAUGGGGCAGGAGCACAGCAGCCUUCACCCCACAUUGAUCUGCAGCCUCGCGCUCCUGCUCCUUGGGUCUAAGAUGCACAGUGCAGGUUGGGCUGCAGGGCAGAUGCUGCAAGGAAAUGUUUAAAUCCAAAGCUCAAAUUUGUUCCCAAUUAGUCCUAAAAAAAACAACCAAAAACCAAACCCAACCACCACCACCCAUCAUAGCAAAUAUCCAUAGUAACAUCUCUGUUUAGCUUUGUUUUCUGACGUCACCUCGGCUCCCUGACAGCAUGCCUGAAUAUCUCCUUGUGCCUCGUGUGCUAUUGUUUGCUGAGGUUGGUUCUGCACACGUAUGCAUGAAUGCUUUGGAAAUGGCUUUGUUUUUCUGUUCUUUAGGAAUGUGUUCCAAACAAACACCCUGGAGCAGCAGCACAGAGGUUUGCUUACACUGCACUGCGUUACUCUCGGUGUCAUUUAUCACUCUCCAGGUGGAUCACCCAGUGUUGGGAAGCUCCUAGGACCUGCCAGGCACUGACACAGCUGUAGAGACGUUUCAUUCCUCUGAUUCUGCCGCCCUCAGCGAUGUUGGUUGGUGGUUUUGUCUCCUCACAGCUAUAAAGAGUGACAAAUUCAUUCACUGAGCCUGCAUGCUUGAAAGCCAAGAUAGAAAUGUGCCAGUGCAGUGGGUGGAGAGGAAUAUCCUGGCUACAAUGGAUUUACUUCUUUAGGAGAAGAAUCGCGGGUCAAAAUGAGAGACUUUUGCAAUGGGAGCCCCCUAUGGGCUCCCAGCUGUUCUAGCAGGCAGGUGAGCACAGGGUGCAGUUAUUAAUCAUUGUAUGACAGCAAUGCAAGCAAUCUUAAAAUGAGUCAUGGUUGUAGUUGUCUAGAAAUACAGAGGUUAAGUGCAGGCUUCCUCAGUAUAUACAUAUUUUAGUGUGAAUUUGAAUAGAUGGAAGACAGUAUAUCUCUUUUGAGACAUCAUUGCAGUGUGUGUGCGCUGCUGAAUGCCUGUCUGCCCUAUGAGUCUUUUCUGUGUCAAUCUCACCCGGCUCUUUUAAACACAAACAUCUUCCUGCUGCAGCAGCUGUGUACAGGGAGCACUCACACCACUCACAGAGCAGCUCAUCCUCCCCAAAAUCACACCGUUCUGCAGCCAUCAGCCCAUUGUGAGGAGCAGCAGGGCUGUGACCAGCAUGCAGCUCUGCCCAGCGCUUUGCUUCGCAGCAGCUGAGCCAUCGUCCUCCGUAAGGAGAGCAGAGCAGGCGUGAAGCAGGGGCUGUGUUUGUUUUUAUGUCCCACGCAGAGUCCUGCUGGAGAAUCUGAUCUUUGCACCGGUCCAUUUCUCUGCCCCUGUCCUCCUGCUGCACUGAUGGGGUUAACGAGACGUGGGGAUGGCUCCCAUCUAAUCACAUUUCAGCUGAGAUCAUGCUGUACUGGGAGGAAAGGCAUCGAGUUGAUUCAAUUUGCUCUGCAAUGGCACUGCAUCAGUACCAGCGUGUGCCUGGCGAUGAAGCAUUGCUUAUCAGCCUGGAAGCUCCCAAGGGAAGCAGAGAAAUGGCUCAUAGAGUGGAAAUUUAAGGUCAUCUUUUGGUAGCGUCCCACCUGGAUAGCAUCACUCUUUCCAGCAGUGUGGGGCUGUAGCUUCAGCUUUAACACUUCUUCUUUCUGCACCAGCUCCAUUCAAAGGGGGUGAGUUCGAAACGCACGGAGCUGCUUUCGUGCUGCAGAGCCUCACUGUGUCUGCUUUGCAGUUCAUCAGAGCAGCUCACAAAGUUUCCAGCAUGGAGCUGGCGUUCCCACAGGGCUUCACCCAUGCCAAGAGCCCGGAACUGUGCAGAGGGAGCAGUGCACUCCGUGCUGCCAGACACUGAUUGCUUCUCUUGGCCUCUGUUUCUGAUUUAUUUAUGUGAACUUAAUGACACCCGAGCAAGGAGCCCAGGAAGGCAUCAGAUCAAACACAGGCUGACUUCAUUGGGCUAAAAACGUCUCAGGCUUCCCAUCGUCAGCCACGUUACCCCUUGGAUCUGUGCUGACCAAGGGGACCUGCUGGAUCCUGCAGUGAAGGAGGUCGCUCCCAUGCACCCAUCAAGGCCAAAACUGUGUCUAUAAACGAUGCUCCAUUUCAGUGACGUGGCCACAAGGAAGAGGUUUUGUUGCUUCCCUUGGAAGUGGUUGAAGUUAGCAUCCAAGGACUGAAGUCAGCUGGUCUGUUUGCCUUCAGAGAGGAUGGCUUCAUCUUUCCUGAUCCUGCAGGGAGGUGCUGGAGAACCUGGAGGUGCUUGGGAACAGUGGGGAUGUGGCACUGAGGGCACAGUGGGGGUGGGUCAAUGGUUGGACUGGGUGAUCUUAGAGGUCUUUCCAACCAUAACGGUUCUGUGUUUCAGGCUUUGAGUUACAUCUGAGCUUGUCUGAAACCUCAGUUUUUCAUGGUCUUUUUUAACCUCUGUUGCAGGGGGGAAGGCCUCUUGCCCCCACCCUACUGAGGCCCUUUUCCCUAUGGAAGCUCAUAGCCCAGGAUCCUGCCUUCUGCUCAGGAGAGCCUUGGAUCUGCUUGAGCACAGGAAGGGAAGGUGCCAAGAAUGAGCUUGCAGAAAGAGAAGAUAAAUUAAUGAGCACCAUGACUGCUGGUGUCAGCAGGUACAGAACUACUGGUACCAGUGAGCAGGAAUGGAGGACUCCAUGAUCCUGAUCUCUUCCAACCCGGGAUAUUCUGUGCUUCUGUGUCUCCACGUAUUCUUCACCAUGUUCCUGCUGCCCUGAAGGCUUUGCCCUCUCUUUGCCUCCACCACCAGCCAGUCCUCCUGGUUCCCUUGGGCUGACAGUGACACGUUGUGGGUUUGCUCUUGCCAUCCCAUAUCCUCUCCCAAGCCAAGGGAAAGGAACGUGUGGAAAGGGAAAAAAAUGGGCUGCAAGCUUAGUGCUGGGACCUCGAUAAAUGCAAGUGACAUAAAUGCUGGCUGAGACACCUUCUGCCUGCUGGCUCCUCUGCUGCUAGGGAGUUAUGCUGGCUGUGAAGUGGCUUUCUGGAGCUGGUGUGGAGCCAACCUUGGAGCAAAUGCUCAGCCAGAGCCAAUUCAUUAGCAAAGGGAAGCGGCUGCAAGCCCCCCAUUUAGGCUGUGUCACUUCACAUGGCUGAAGGCAGCCCUGCUGAUGAUGUUUCAAGCCCUCUGCUGCCCCAGCAGCCCGUGGCACCACGUCAGAUUUCACUGGUCAACCCCAACCUGGUGGCCUGACAAGUUUUCCACCCACCCAGCCAUCCUGUUCUUUGUGUCUCCUGGAGCAAACCAUGCUAAAGCCACACUGAAGUCUACAGUCAUAGAAUCAUUAAGGGAAAAGACCACUAAGAUAAUCACAACCAACCCCACUCCUCCCCUUGGCUACCCACCACCUUGUUGUAGAAGGCCAUGGGGUUGCUCAGGUGUGCCAUGCCCUUGUAGGUCCUUGGUGGCCAUUCCCUGUCAUCUGCGUGUCCUCCACCUGCCCAGAAUCACCUCCCAGGAGCGUUUGCCCCACCACCUUCCUGGGGACUGAAAAGCUGCUCUCCAGAUCCUCCUCCUUACCCUGUCUGAAGUGAGAUAUGACAUUUGUCUCUUUACA
Molecule: long non-coding RNA, 5357 nt
Organism: Lagopus muta (rock ptarmigan)
Lineage: Eukaryota; Metazoa; Chordata; Aves; Galliformes; Phasianidae
Exons: 3
Source: RefSeq, a predicted model, not a curated record